UACGGGGGGGGCAAGCGUUGUUCGGAAUUACUGGGCGUAAAGGGCUCGUAGGCGGCCAACUAAGUCAGACGUGAAAUCCCUCGGCUCAACCGGGGAACUGCGUCUGAUACUGGGUGGCUUGAAUCCGGGAGAGGGAUGCGGAAUUCCAGGUGUAGCGGUGAAAUGCGUAGAUAUCUGGAGGAACACCGGUGGCGAAGGCGGCAUCCUGGACCGGCAUUGACGCUGAGGCGCGAAAGCCAGGGGAGCAAACGGG
This 253-nucleotide ribosomal RNA is filed under the name uncultured bacterium. RNAcentral's name for it is "partial 16S ribosomal RNA". It matches the Rfam family "Bacterial small subunit ribosomal RNA", at positions 524 to 776 of the family's 1533-position model. The record is from RNAcentral.